GACGAACGCUGGCGGCGUGCUUAACACAUGCAAGUCGAACGAGGUCCAUGCAGUCGCAAGACUGCGGAAGAUCUAGUGGCGAACGGGUGCGUAACACGUGAGAAACCUGUCCCGGUCUCUGGAAUAACAAGUGGAAACACUUGCUAAUACCGGAUGCCGUCGGACCAUCGCAUGAUGGACUGACGAAAGGGCUACCGGAUCGGGAGGGUCUCGCGGCCCAUCAGCUUGUUGGUGAGGUAACGGCUCACCAAGGCAUCGACGGGUAGCUGGUCUGAGAGGAUGAUCAGCAACACUGGGACUGAGACACGGCCCAGACUCAUACGGGAGGCAGCAGUGGGGAAUCUUGCACAAUGGGCGAAAGCCUGAUGCAGCAACGCCGCGUGCGGGAAGAAGGCCCUAGGGUUGUAAACCGCUUUCAGCAGGGAAGAAACUGACGGUACCUGUAGAAGAAGGUGCGGCCAACUACGUG
This 469-nucleotide ribosomal RNA is filed under the name uncultured bacterium. Its description in RNAcentral is "partial 16S ribosomal RNA". It matches the Rfam family "Bacterial small subunit ribosomal RNA", at positions 28 to 507 of the family's 1533-position model. The record is from RNAcentral.